Molecule: ribosomal RNA, 475 nt
Filed under: uncultured bacterium
Lineage: Bacteria
Description: SSU rRNA
Rfam family: Bacterial small subunit ribosomal RNA
Source: RNAcentral
AGGACGAACGCUGGCGGCGUGCUUAACACAUGCAAGUCGAGCGGAAAGGCCCUUCGGGGUACUCGAGCGGCGAACGGGUGAGUAACACGUGAGCAAUCUGCCCUUAGCUUCGGGAUAGCCCCGGGAAACCGGGAUUAAUACCGAAUAUGACCUCGGCCGACAUCGGCCUUGGUGGAAAGUUUUUCGGCUAGGGAUGAACUCGCGGCCUAUCAGCUUGUUGGUGGGGUAAUGGCCUACCAAGGCGACGACGGGUAGCCGGCCUGAGAGGGCGACCGGCCACACUGGGACUGAGACACGGCCCAGACUCCUACGGGAGGCAGCAGUGGGGAAUAUUGCGCAAUGGGCGAAAGCCUGACGCAGCGACGCCGCGUGGGGGAUGAAGGCCUUCGGGUUGUAAACCCCUUUCAGCAGGGACGAAGCGAGAGUGACGGUACCGUGCAGAAGAAGCGCCGGCUAACUACGCGCCAGCAGCCGC